GCGGGAGUUUUCUGCUUGUGUUUAUAUUUUCAGAAGGGGGCUGAAGAGCUAUGCCCAGACUGGAGCACGAGUCUGCUUGCUGGUGUGUUUCUCAGUCCAGUUUGAUUUUUUAAAGGUACCCUCCAUGGGACAGAACUCUGCUUACAAACUUUAAAACUGGAUGAUGCAAAAAUUACCUGCACAGCAGAGGAGGACAACGAACCAUAGAAUUGAGAACAGAAAGGAUCAUUAAACAUCACCUACUCCAAAUGCAUUCGUUUCCA
RNAcentral lists this long non-coding RNA (263 nucleotides) under Homo sapiens (human). Its description in RNAcentral is "HSALNT0299994". Lineage: Eukaryota; Metazoa; Chordata; Mammalia; Primates; Hominidae. The record is from RNAcentral.